UACGUAGGCAGCGAGCGUUGUUCGGAAUUACGUGGGCGUAAAGAGUGUGUAGGCGGUGCUCCCAGUCUGUUGUGAAAUCUCCCCGGCUUAACUGGGAGGGUGCAGCGGAAACUAGGAGUGCUAGAGGGUGGGAGAGGUAAGCGGGAAUUCGUGGUGUAGCGGUGAAAUGCGUAGAUAUCAGGAGGAACACCUGUGGUGUAGACAGCUUACUGGACCACUUCUGACGCUGAGACACGAAAGCGUGGGUAGCAAACAGG
Molecule: ribosomal RNA, 257 nt
Filed under: uncultured bacterium
Lineage: Bacteria
Description: partial 16S ribosomal RNA
Rfam family: Bacterial small subunit ribosomal RNA
Source: RNAcentral